CAAGGGAAAGAGGCCGGAUGCAGAGAUGCCUUGAAGGAUCUGGUUUCAUCUUGCACAAGAUGGCUUUGAACCCCAUUGGUACAGAGUCUGAUCCUGAAGAUCUGACCCCCUGCCUUCUAGGAUUACAGGUCACUCUGUAGGUGGGAAAGCCAUAUCCUCGGUCACAUAACUUCAGAAACCUACAUACAAAGGAGGUACUAUUGGUUUGCCACUUGGUGAAGUUUUUUAAAAGCUUCAAGUUGAUCAUCUUUAGCCCAGGAUGUGAUGGUCUGUAGGAUUGAGUAUAUGUACUGCUGUGCAAUGGAAUUGUCGAACUUUCCGUGUUUUUCUUUUUGAAUGAGUUUAUCAUUCAGUAUGUCUUUUUGAAAUAAAAGUGUCUUGUUUUUCUUUUAAUUAUA
Mus musculus (house mouse) is the source of this 398-nucleotide long non-coding RNA. RefSeq annotates it as predicted gene, 42135. The record is from RefSeq and is a predicted model, not a curated record. The transcript has 3 exons. Lineage: Eukaryota; Metazoa; Chordata; Mammalia; Rodentia; Muridae.